CCUACGUGUGGCAGCAGUGAGGAAUAUUGGUCCAUGGACGAGAGUCUGAACCAGCCAAGUAGCGUGAAGGAUGACUGCCCUAUGGGUUGUAAACUUCUUUUAUAUGGGAAUAAAACAGGGUAUGCAUACCCUCUUGUAUGUACCAUAUGAAUAAGGAUCGGCUAACUCCGUGCCAGCAGCCGCGGUAAUACGGAGGAUCCGAGCGUUAUCCGGAUUUAUUGGGUUUAAAGGGAGCGUAGGUGGAUUGUUAAGUCAGUGGUAAAAAGUCGGGGCUCAACCCCGUCGUGCCGUUGAAACUGAUGUGCUUGAGUGGGCGAGAGGUAUGCGGAAUGCGUGGUGUAGCGGUGAAAUGCUUAGAUAUCACGCAGAACUCAGAUUGCGAAGGCAGCAUACCGGCGCCCAACUGACGCUGAAGCACGAAAGCGUGGGUAUCGAACAGGAUUAGAUACCCCAGUAGUC
RNAcentral lists this ribosomal RNA (459 nucleotides) under uncultured bacterium. Its description in RNAcentral is "partial 16S ribosomal RNA". It matches the Rfam family "Bacterial small subunit ribosomal RNA", at positions 338 to 795 of the family's 1533-position model. The record is from RNAcentral.